AGAGUUUGAUCCUGGCUCAGGACGAACGCUGGCGGCGUGCCUAAUACAUGCAAGUAGAACGCUGACUACUUUAGCUUGCUAGAGUAGAAGGAGUUGCGAACGGGUGAGUAACGCGUAGGUAACCUGCCUACUAGCGGGGGAUAACUAUUGGAAACGAUAGCUAAUACCGCAUAACAGUGUUUAACACAUGUUAGAUGCUUGAAAGAUGCAAUUGCAUCACUAGUAGAUGGACCUGCGUUGUAUUAGCUAGUUGGUGGGGUAACGGCCCACCAAGGCGACGAUACAUAGCCGACCUGAGAGGGUGAUCGGCCACACUGGGACUGAGACACGGCCCAGACUCCUACGGGAGGCAGCAGUAGGGAAUCUUCGGCAAUGGGGGCAACCCUGACCGAGCAACGCCGCGUGAGUGAAGAAGGUUUUCGGAUCGUAAAGCUCUGUUGUAAGAGAAGAACGUGUGUGAGAGUGGAAAGUUCACACAGUGACGGUAACUUACCAGAAAGGGACGGCUAACUACGUGCCAGCAGCCGCGGUAAUACGUAGGUCCCGAGCGUUGUCCGGAUUUAUUGGGCGUAAAGCGAGCGCAGGCGGUUUAAUAAGUCUGAAGUUAAAGGCAGUGGCUUAACCAUUGUUCGCUUUGGAAACUGUUAGACUUGAGUGCAGAAGGGGAGAGUGGAAUUCCAUGUGUAGCGGUGAAAUGCGUAGAUAUAUGGAGGAACACCGGUGGCGAAAGCGGCUCUCUGGUCUGUAACUGACGCUGAGGCUCGAAAGCGUGGGGAGCAAACAGGAUUAGAUACCCUGGUAGUCCACGCCGUAAACGAUGAGUGCUAGGUGUUAGGCCCUUUCCGGGGCUUAGUGCCGCAGCUAACGCAUUAAGCACUCCCCCUGGGGGAGUACGACCGCAAGGUUGGAACUCAAAGGAAUUGACGGGGGCCCGCACAAGCGGUGGAGCAUGUGGUUUAAUUUAGAAAGCAACGCGAAGAACCUUACCAGGUCUUGACAUCCCGAUGCUAUUCCUAGAGAUAGGAAGUUUUUUCGGAACAUCGGUGACAGAUGGUGCAUGGUUGUCGUCCGCUCGUGUCGU
RNAcentral lists this ribosomal RNA (1081 nucleotides) under uncultured bacterium. Its description in RNAcentral is "bacterial SSU rRNA". It matches the Rfam family "Bacterial small subunit ribosomal RNA", at positions 8 to 1068 of the family's 1533-position model. The record is from RNAcentral.